This is a long non-coding RNA of Octopus sinensis (East Asian common octopus), 157 nucleotides long. RefSeq lists it as uncharacterized. The record is from RefSeq and is a predicted model, not a curated record. NCBI's taxonomy places the organism in Eukaryota, Metazoa, Mollusca, Cephalopoda, Octopoda, Octopodidae. The transcript has 3 exons.
UUAAAGGUCACAGUACAUGUAUUAAAGGGCUACUAAUAGUUUCAUAUGUUGAGAAAACUCAAACAUAUUCUUCAGGUGCAAACCACAUAUUAUAACGAACUCAAGAAAUUGAAUAGUAGAAGACACGCGAAAAGAACUGAGAAGAUUUGCACCAGAG